This 2535-nucleotide ribosomal RNA is filed under the name Clostridioides difficile. RNAcentral's name for it is "23S ribosomal RNA". It matches the Rfam family "Bacterial large subunit ribosomal RNA", at positions 352 to 2910 of the family's 2925-position model. Lineage: Bacteria; Bacillati; Bacillota; Clostridia; Peptostreptococcales; Peptostreptococcaceae. The record is from RNAcentral.
CCACCACAGAAGGUAAUAGUCCUGUAUGUUAAACGAGAAGACUUUAGAUAUGAUCCAGAGUACCACGGGACACGUGAAACCCUGUGGGAAGCAGGAGGGACCACCCUCCAAGGCUAAAUACUACCUAGUGACCGAUAGCGUAUAGUACCGUGAGGGAAAGGUGAAAAGAACCCCGGGAGGGGAGUGAAAUAGAACCUGAAACCCUGCACUUACAAGCUGUGGAAGCACAUUUCUUGUGUGACCGCGUACUUUUUGUAGAACGGGCCAACGAGUUACGUUAAGUAGCAAGGUUAAGCACUUAAGGUGCGGAGCCGUAGCGAAAGCGAGUUUUAACUGAGCGUUCAGUUACUUGACGUAGACCCGAAACCGGGCGACCUACCCAUGAGCAGGAUGAAGCGAAAGUAAAAUUUCGUGGAGGUCCGAACCCACGAGCGUUGAAAAGCUCGGGGAUGACUUGUGGGUAGCGGUGAAAUUCCAAUCGAGCCCGGAGAUAGCUGGUUCUCCCCGAAAUAGCUUUAGGGCUAGCCUCAAGGUGAGAGAUACGGAGGUAGAGCACUGAAUGUCCUAGGGGGUAUUGCACCUACCGAAGACUAUCAAACUCCGAAUGCCGUCAUCUUAUACUUGGGAGUCAGACUGUGGGUGAUAAGAUUCAUAGUCGAAAGGGCAACAGCCCAGAUCGUCAGCUAAGGUCCCUAAAUGUAAGUUAAGUGGUAAAGGAUGUGGGAUUGCACAGACAACCAGGAUGUUGGCUUAGAAGCAGCCACUCAUUCAAAGAGUGCGUAAUAGCUCACUGGUCGAGUGAUCCUGCGCCGAAGAUUUCCGGGGCUAAAACUUACUACCGAAGCUACGGCAUCAGUAAUGAUGGGUAGGGGAGCUUCCCAUACGGGUUGAAGCAUGACCGUAAGGACAUGUGGACAGUAUGGGAGUGAGAAUGUUGGCAUGAGUAGCGAGAUGUGGGUGAGAAUCCCACAGGCCGUAAACCCAAGGUUUCCAGGGGAAGGUUCGUCCGCCCUGGGUUAGUCGGGACCUAAGCUGAGGCCGAAAGGCGUAGGUGAUGGACAACAGGUUGAUAUUCCUGUACUACCGAUAACCGUUUGAGAGAAGGGAUGACACAGUAGGAUAAGCUAAGCACACUGUUGGUUAUGUGUGCCCAAGCAUUGAGGCAGUCAAAGUAGGCAAAUCCGCUUUGAUAAUGCUGGGAUGUGAUGGGGAGCGAAAUUUAGUAGCGAAGUAGCUGAUUUCACACUGUCAAGAAAAGUCUCUAUCGAGGUUAAAGGUACCCGUACCGCAAACCGACACAGGUGGGUGAGGAGAGUAUCCUAAGGCCAGCGAGAGAACUGUUGUUAAGGAACUCGGCAAAAUGACCCCGUAACUUAGGGAUAAGGGGUGCCACCAUCAGGUGGCCGCAGAGAAUAGGCCCAAGCGACUGUUUACCAAAAACAUAGGUUUCUGCUAAGUCGCAAGACGAUGUAUAGGAGCUGACGCCUGCCCGGUGCUGGAAGGUUAAGGGGAUCUGUUAGAGCAAUCGAAGCAGUGAACUUAAGCCCCAGUAAACGGCGGCCGUAACUAUAACGGUCCUAAGGUAGCGAAAUUCCUUGUCGGGUAAGUUCCGACCCGCACGAAAGGCGUAACGAUUUGGGCACUGUCUCAACAACAGACUCGGUGAAAUUGUAAUUCCGGUGAAGAUGCCGGAUACCUGCGACAGGACGGAAAGACCCCAUGGAGCUUUACUGUAGCUUGACAUUGGGUCUUGGUACUACAUGUACAGGAUAGGUGGGAGGCUUUGAAACCAGGACGCCAGUUUUGGCGGAGCCAUCCUUGGGAUACCACCCUUGUAGUACUGGGACUCUAACCAUAGGCCAUGAAUCUGGUCUUGGGACACUGUCAGGUGGGCAGUUUGACUGGGGCGGUCGCCUCCCAAAAGGUAACGGAGGCGCUCAAAGGUUCUCUCAGUACGGUCGGAAAUCGUACGUAGAGUGUAAAGGCAAAAGAGAGCUUGAUUGCAAGACAUACAGGUCGAGCAAGGAUGAAAAUCGGACUUAGUGAUCCGGUGGUUCUGCGUGGAAGGGCCAUCGCUCAACGGAUAAAAGCUACCCUGGGGAUAACAGGCUUAUCUCCCCCAAGAGUCCACAUCGACGGGGAGGUUUGGCACCUCGAUGUCGGCUCAUCACAUCCUGGGGCUGUAGUAGGUCCCAAGGGUUGGGCUGUUCGCCCAUUAAAGUGGUACGCGAGCUGGGUUCAGAACGUCGUGAGACAGUUCGGUCCCUAUCCGUCGCAGGCGUAGGAAAUUUGAGAAGACCUGUCCUUAGUACGAGAGGACCGGGAUGGACGUACCUCUGGUGUACCAGUUGUCCUGCCAAGGGCAUGGCUGGGUAGCUAUGUACGGAAUGGAUAAGCGCUGAAAGCAUCUAAGCGCGAAGCCAACUUCAAGAUAAGAUUUCCCACCGCAAGGGUAAGACCCCAGAAAGACUAUCUGGUUGAUAGGUCGAAGGUGUAAGUGCAGCAAUGUAUUUAGCUUAUCGAUACUAAUAGGUC